GGUUCUCAGUUCCGCUUUAGUCCAGAGAGAAGACACUACGCUUCGGCGUUCAGUUCCAGAACAUCUGUGGUUCCCUGGGCGGGGGACGAGCUCUGCAGACGAGGUCACUGCAGCAGUGGCAGGAAUCUUGCACUCCUAGUAGAGAAGGUGUCGACAGAGCUACUGAGGGAAAGAAGGUUUUUUUUUGUUUUGUUUUGUUUUGUUUUGUUUUGUUUUGUUUCCAGUCUGGCCUGGGCCAGGUAGGAAGCCAUAGGCCUGGCAGCACUAUUGGAGUUUCACCUGCUUCUCCCCGGAAGACCGGCAGGAGGGGAGGGCUGCGCCCAAACCUGCAAGCUAGGACCUGACCUGUAUAAGAACAGGGGAAGGGAAUUCUUUGCUUCCACCAUACACAGACCUAAGGCUUCUGGGGAGAAGCAUAACGCUUCCCUUCUGGGAGCCUCAGUUUCCUCAUCUGCAAAAAAGGGGAUACCACUGAUACCUUUUAUUUGGGGGGGUGUAUAUUGAGUGAGACCACUUGUGCAACCUCUUGGUCUAAUAAUAAAGUUCAACACUUUCUGGUCUGGGAAGAUGGGAAGCCAGUUCCCAGUAGUAAAAUUGAGUUUCUCUGGAAACUUAGGGUUUUCAGAAUUGGUGAUACAGUGCUGGGGUUGGAGGGAUUGGAGGACUAAGGUUUCAGAAUCAGCAGAAACAUUGCAAAAGAGUUUCUAAGCACAUUUUCCUUCCUCUCCCACCCUUGAAAGAUAACUAGGAGGAAGUAAAGUUAGGUUAGGGAUAGAGAGGAAUUUCAGCAGGAGGAGGAAGGGUCUAGCAGCUCUCAUCUGCCUAGGGGCAGGAUCUAAUCUCUUAGGUGUGCGAGGGCUGAUGGUGUAAUUUAUCAAGUCAGGCUGUUAAGGAGCUAGGAUGCCUCUUAAAUACAGGGUCUGCUACAGGUGCCUGGGCCACUUGUGCUGAGAGCCAGAAAGAAGGGAUGGUUAAGUGCAUGGAGCCUGGGGAAGGUUUACACUGAUCUCAGUCCCUCUUUGCCUGAGACAAGCAAACCCCAAAUUCAGGAACAUCUCCAUCCUUCAGCCUCCAGAAACCCGUUACUCCUCAGGUUGCCAGAGGGAGUCAUAACUUCAUAAAAAUGUUGGCUUUUCAUUUCACCUUUUUUUCCCCUCUAGUUUGUUGUAAUAGGUGGCAAAUCUUUGCCUCUCAUAAUUCUGCCCACUGGAAGAACAUUCUCUACCUGUCCAGCUUGCCUCAAGAAGGAUAAUGAAGUGUUCAGAGUAAAUGUUCCUGGAGAACAAUUUCUUUUUCUGUCUCUCACUUGCUAUCAGGAUAGAAGCAUCAAGUGUAAUGAAGAUCAGUUUCUGUGUUAAGCUGGAAAAACCCAUUUAAAAAACAGCAAUCAUUUCUGUUGUAACAACAAAACUUUGAUUGGCAGUUCCAGCUGCUGUGUGCCCCAUCUGAUUCCCAAGUCUCAUUCUCUCUCAGAAUUCAGGUGUCAGCAAACCCAUUCUUCCCCAUACCCCAGGUAACUGCGAGAAAGUGCAGGAAAUUUCACACAGAGGAUACGACACAUUUCCUAUGAGUGUCAGGUAUGUUUUCCAGGUAAUCUGGCUAUUCACAUCCAGCAACUUCCUGUAAUGCUCCUUCCUAGACCUACCUUGUAAUAUACCACUUUGUGCGAUAUAAGUGCUCAUCAAGUAAUUGUUCUAUACUGUAGAUCUUCAAACAGUUUCACCAAUCCCUUCAUAUGGGAAUUUAGAAAGAGAUGUGUAAAGUAGACCAGCAGAUAAUCUUUCAGAAUGCAGGUCACAAAUGCUAAGUGAGCUAUCCUAUAAAACUCUUCAGUUAAACUUCCCCCAAAUAGAGGAAGACGGAGUAGGAUUGAAAUAACAUCUGUUUAUGCUUCACACAGAAUAAAGUGAUGAUGGACUGA
This is a long non-coding RNA of Cercocebus atys (sooty mangabey), 1921 nucleotides long. RefSeq lists it as uncharacterized. Lineage: Eukaryota; Metazoa; Chordata; Mammalia; Primates; Cercopithecidae. The record is from RefSeq and is a predicted model, not a curated record. The transcript has 2 exons.